Long non-coding RNA from Manis javanica (Malayan pangolin), 448 nucleotides. RefSeq lists it as uncharacterized. The record is from RefSeq and is a predicted model, not a curated record. Lineage: Eukaryota; Metazoa; Chordata; Mammalia; Pholidota; Manidae.
UGGUUCCGCCCCGGGGGCGCCGGGAGACCCGAGGUCCUGAAGUGGCCGUCUUUCGGCUGUUGCCUGUGGAGGGUUAAUAAGUUUCUCUUCGUUUAUAAGGAAUGUGAUUAGCGCUUCAUAAGUUAAUUAGCUGCUCUGCGCCUCAGUUUCCCCAUCUGAGAAAAGGUUCUCUCUCCAACGCUCCUACUGCCAGUGUGGCACCGAACACGGUUCUGAGGAGAAAUGAGAAUGCCCAAGGGAAAGCGGCACUUACUGAGUUACAAGUGAGCCCCUUGCACGAGACUGCAGUAAAAAUGGACUGCAUAAUGGUAUUCACUCAAAAACAUAUGGACCAAAUUAAUAUAUGAUAAAGGAGCCAGGGAAACACAAUGGGGAAAUGACAGCCUCUUCAACAGCUGGUGUUGGCAAAACUGGACAGCUACAUGCAAGAGAAUGAAACGAUUAUUGU